UAGUUAUAUGUAUGUAAACCCUUAUUUUACAGUUCAAUUACCGAGCUGAAAACAUUAAAAAGGUAAUCCAGAAGGGAUCCUUGGGGAUCUUCACAUUUAAUCUGUAUGAUUUUACUUUAAAUAAAUAAACACAUAACAACCUAAAAUAACAACAAAAACAAUUUAAUAGGAUUAAAGUUGUUUGUAACUAACAAAAUGAUUCUUAUCCUUUGGAAAAAACAUCCAAGGAGAAAAAUGGUUUUAGCAAUGUUUGUCACUGUCUUAUUCUGUCUUCAUAUUCUGUUUUUGGAUGGAAAUAUGACUUGUAACCUUUGAAAAUGGGAAUGUCAGAAAAGUAAAAAUCAGGUUAUUUUUUGUUUUUGAGGAGGUUUUGGAAAAAAAGAAAUGAUGUAACUUGGAAUCAGCACCUUAAGAGACAACCUUGAUGGUAUGUUGUCGCUUCAUAAAUGAACUGAACUGAUGUUCGGCUGCAUCCCACUGAGCUGCAUUGAAAAACUAGGAAUUACGAGUAUCCAUACCACAAGCCACUGCUUUAAUCCCACAAAUCUCCACAUGCCCCUCAUUCCAAAUAAAAAGUGGAUUUCUGUGUGUCACGAGGUCGUGCUCAUGAGCUGACUCCAUUCAACAAAAUUACAUAAAUUCAGAGAAAUGUCUGCUGACACUUCUUCCCAUCCAGCUGUUGAUGACGUGCUCCACUGACCCUAAAGAUUGCGUAACUUUAAUGCAGGGCUGAUCAAGGAGGAUAAUUCUCAUGGGUUUACCACAUCUGCUCAGCAUAAAUCUGCCGGAAGCAAAGUCAUACAGUCAUCAGAUCGUCACAUUACACAACAUUUUUCGAUAAUGUUCCUACAUUUCUCAUUUCUUCAGUGAAGUUUGUGUCCUUGGGCAGGACACUGAACCCCACCUUGCCUCUGGGGGAAGGUUGGCGACAGUGAUCGGCAGUGCAGCCGCCAUCAGUGUGUGAAUGGGUGAAUGGGACUGUGACUGCAAAGCGCUUUGGGCAUUUGAGGAAGGUAGAUGAGCGUUGUACAAGUAUACUGUCAUGGUGCCUGCCGGUCUCCUCCCCCUUCCAGCCCUGCUCUGCUCCUGACUCCAGCUGUGACCAAUCAACUCAUCAACUCACCUGCUUCUUAAGGAGACCCAACUCCAAGAGCCUUCGCCAGUUCGUUAACCCUGAUGGUUUUGUCAUGCCACGAUUGUCACCUGGAACCUACACCACCUUGAGCUGCAGCUACCUCCCAGACGCCGACACUCUUCGGCCACAGCACGCACUGGUUCCGGCUACACUGGUCCUCCAGCCUUGCCACUCACAAGAACUCCAGCAACACCCCUCCUCAAGACCUUCAGUCACACCACUCUCAAGAUCUCCAGUAGCGCUGCAGCUGCACCUCUGUCAGCAAGAGCUACAGCUCGCUCGGGCUUCUCCACCACGCUCAAAGCCACGCCUUCUAGUCUCGACCUAGCCACGCUCCUCCAAGCCUUCGCCAUAUUCAGUGACAUUAAAUUACAUUUAUCCACUUA
Oryzias latipes (Japanese medaka) is the source of this 1521-nucleotide long non-coding RNA. RefSeq lists it as uncharacterized. The record is from RefSeq and is a predicted model, not a curated record. NCBI's taxonomy places the organism in Eukaryota, Metazoa, Chordata, Actinopteri, Beloniformes, Adrianichthyidae.